Molecule: ribosomal RNA, 279 nt
Filed under: uncultured bacterium
Lineage: Bacteria
Description: partial 16S ribosomal RNA
Rfam family: Bacterial small subunit ribosomal RNA
Source: RNAcentral
UGCCAGCAGCCGCGGUAAAACGUAGGACGCAAACGUUAUCCGGAAUUACUGGGCGUAAAGCGCGCGCAGGCGGGCUAAUAAGUCAUGCGUGAAAGCUCCCGGCUAAACUGGGAGAGGUCGGAUGAUACUGUUAGUCUUGAGGAUGUCAGAGGUAUGUGGAAUUCCGCGUGUAGUGGUGAAAUGCGUAGAGAUGCGGAGGAACACCAGUGGCGAAGGCGGCAUACUGGGGCAUAACUGGCGCUGAGGCGCGAAAGCAUGGGUAGCGAACGGGAUUAGAUA